UACAGAGGGUGCAAACGUUGUUCGGAAUCACUGGGCCUAAAGCGUACGUAGGCGGCGUCGUAAGUGUCGGAUGAAAUCCCACGGCUUACCCGUGGAACGGUCCGGCAUACUGCGGUGCUAGAGGAUGGUAGAGGAGAGCGGGACUCUUGGUGGAGCGGUGAAAUGCGUAGAUAUCAAGAGGAACACCGGUGGCGAAGGCGGCUCUCUGGUCCAUGUCUGACGCUGAGGUACGAAAGCUAGGGGAGCAAACGGG
This 253-nucleotide ribosomal RNA is filed under the name uncultured bacterium. Its description in RNAcentral is "partial 16S ribosomal RNA". It matches the Rfam family "Bacterial small subunit ribosomal RNA", at positions 524 to 776 of the family's 1533-position model. The record is from RNAcentral.